RNA transcript from Cornus florida, 1449 nucleotides. RefSeq lists it as uncharacterized. Lineage: Eukaryota; Viridiplantae; Streptophyta; Magnoliopsida; Cornales; Cornaceae. The transcript has 9 exons. The record is from RefSeq and is a predicted model, not a curated record.
AUCUUCACUCCAACGCCACCAAACAAGAAAGCCCAACCCUCGUUGACCCACGACCUUAUAGCCCAGCCCACUCCCACCCCACCGUUCCCAAUCCCAUCGUUUAGAGCCUUAUAGCGCGAAGAGAGUGGGGGCGUUCAAAGUCGUGUGAGAGCGCGAAGAGAGUGGGUGUGUUCGGACUCGCUUCGAAGUUGUGUGAGAGCGCGUAGAGAGAAAAGCGAGAGCGAGAGCGAGACAGAGUAGAGAAAAGAUGGAGAUGAAAUGUCCUGUUACUGGAAAUAUCAUUCGGAAGUCUGUGUUCUCGAAAUCAGGAUCGGAAUCAAAAUAUUUGACAGAAUUUGAAGACCUAGGAUUCAUAGCAAAAUUCGGUUUCGGCAUAGUUAAGAAAUGCCGAAACCGCCUUGAUGACUGCAUCUACGCCGUGAAGAUUGUUUCACUGAAGUCUGCAAAUAUUCCCUUUGAGAAAGUCCUGAGGGAGGUAAAGGCUCUGCAUCGCUUGCGCCAUCCAAAUGUUGUGCGCUAUCACCAGGCAUGGCUUGAGGAGAAUUUUUCUGGUGUUUCUUACUGUUCAAGUGAUGAAAGCUUAACUGAAGAUUCACCUCUGUAUAUCGAUUUCGAUUCCCCAUGCAUGUUUAUUCAAAUGGAGUUCUGUCCUAGGUCCUUAGAGAAGUUUCUGAAAACUUCAGGCAAUUUGGAUGGACAGAAAAUAUGGAAGCUUUUUUGCCAAAUCAUGGAAGGCCUGGCUAAAGUCCAUGCGGCUGGUGUUGCACACCCUGAUCUAUCUUUAGCUAAUAUUUUAUUAGAUGCAGAGGAUAAUAUACGCAUAUCUGAUUUUGGCUUGGCUGAACUAUAUAACCGCCAAACGAAAGUUGACACCAAGGAUGAUAUGUUCGGCCUUGGUCUCAUUUUUUCUAUACUUCGUAAACAUUUGCCCACAGAGCAUGAGGCGUCUGAGCUUUUACGAAAUCUGAAGGAGAAAAAAGAUUUUCCAGAAAGCUGGAUCUAUGACGAACAUGAGCAGUUAAAGAAAAAAGUAUUAUCUCAGUUUGCUGCUGGGAACUCAUUAAUGCAGCAGCAACCGCAACAGUUUUCUUCUAGUUCAGUAACAAGGAGCCGAGCAAGAUUCUCUUGACCUUGAUAAACAAGAAGUACAAACUCUUGGUGACAGUGAGGGUAAAGAGCCUGAUGUGAAGAAAAUGAGGUUAUAGUGUUAUACCAAGUGUAAAUAGCAAGGGAGACUUCUUCGCUCAAGAUCCUCCUAUUCCUUGACUGUAUAUGACAAUGCAAUGGUGUAUAUAUUAAAUAGAAUAACUCCAUAUUGAGGAGAAAAAAUUAAGUGAAUAUACUUGUAUGCAAGGAUUGUAGGCUUGUAGCCCAACAAUAUCCUCUACCCCUCCCGAAGUAGUUAAUUGAAUGUUCUUAUGGGAACAAAAUAAAAUUUGAAAAGAAAAA